RNA transcript from Chiroxiphia lanceolata (lance-tailed manakin), 1022 nucleotides. It is a transcript of the gene named heat shock protein nuclear import factor hikeshi, with no coding region annotated. NCBI's taxonomy places the organism in Eukaryota, Metazoa, Chordata, Aves, Passeriformes, Pipridae. The record is from RefSeq and is a predicted model, not a curated record. The transcript has 5 exons.
UGUGAUGUCGCGCGUUGCCCCAUGGGAGUUGUAGUCUUUGGCGGCGGCGCCGCGGAAGUGACUCAGCAGCGCCGGGUACAAGCAGCUCCCCAACAAGUGGCUGAAGACAAAUUUGUAUUUGAUUUACCCGACUAUGAAAAUAUCAACCAUGUAGUGGUCUUCAUGCUGGGAACUAUACCAUUUCCAGAAGGAAUGGGAGGAUCUGUCUAUUUUUGUUAUCCAGACCAGAGUGGGAUGGCAGUCUGGCAGCUGCUGGGGUUUGUCACCAAUGAGAAGCCAAGUGCCAUCUUCAAAAUUUCUGGUCUGAAAUCUGGGAAGGGAAGUCAACAUCCCUUUGGUGCCAUGAACCUCCCACAGACGCCAACAGUGGCCCAGAUUGGAAUCUCAGUGGAACUGCUGGAGAACCUGGCUCAGCAGACUCCUGUUGCAAGUGCUGCUGUGUCAUCAGUAGAUUCAUUCACAGAGUUCUUUCUCUGUGGAUCAGGCCUUGCACUACAACAUGUGCCAUUUUUUUACCCAGCCUGUUAGUUUGAACCUCUGGAAAUCCACAACCAGCUCUGGCAGUUAGUUGACCGUCUAACAGCAGUUCAAGUUUAGGAGUGUCCUGUGUAUCUUUUUCAUGUUUUCCCCUGCAAGAUUUUGUGGCGAAGGAUGUCGGGAUAGCAGUCCUUCUGUGGUGAAUGCUGAAGGAAAUUGCCCUGUCACUGGAGUCUGAUGAGUUGUAACGAGAGAGACUGCAGAGUUUUCAGCUGGUUUAACAACUAGUGUUUUGCUGGUAGCUGGAAUGGCAGCAUUGACCUGGUCUGCAGGUCUUCUGAUGGUUUAAUUUGGCAGAGAGGGACAGCUCUUGUCACUGCAUCACUUCUUUUUCACAAACAGAAAAUGUUCUUUCCCAAAGCUGUUUAUCCACUUGGAUGAAAUAGAGCAGGGAGAGGGCAAGCGGAGAUACUGAAAAUGAUUUAUGGAUACUGGAUGUAUCUGAGGGUAAGACUGAGAAUUAAAAUGUUUUGAUCAAUUUAAAA